Liolophura sinensis is the source of this 2299-nucleotide long non-coding RNA. RefSeq lists it as uncharacterized. The transcript is spliced from 2 exons. Lineage: Eukaryota; Metazoa; Mollusca; Polyplacophora; Chitonida; Chitonidae. The record is from RefSeq and is a predicted model, not a curated record.
UCGGAGUCGGAUCGGAGUUGCGCUAAUUGAGCUGAUGGGAGUCAUCUUCGCUUUCUACGUGUGCUGUAAGCUUAGGGAACAGAAUAAAAUCUACUAGAGACAUUAGGAUAGACAAUAAAAUCUACUCUAGACAUUAGGACUGACGAUAAAAUCUACUAGAGACAUUAGAACAGACAAUAAAAUCUACUAGAGAUAUUAGGACAAACAAUUAAACCUACUAGAGACAUUAGAACAGACAAUAAAAUCUACUAGAGACAUUGGGACAGACAAUAAAACCUACUAGAGACAUUAGAACAGACAAUAACAUCUACUAGAGAUAUUAGGGACAGACAUGGAGCUGCUGAUGAUGGGAAUGGACUUGGAAGGCCUGAAACAUCCGGACAGAGGCGAGGUACCUUGUGACUGGAAAUUUAUAUGUGUAUAUAUGAAACUUUCGGGAACAGGCGAGAUAGUUUAGGAAGAAAGCUUCAAAGAAUAGCUGCUCACUUUCCAAGCAAGUAAUAGUUGCUCCGUUCCAAACAAGGAAUCGUUGCCCCGGUCCAAGCAAGGAAUAGUUUCUCCCGUUCCAGCAAGAAAUAUAGCUCCAACCGUUCUAGCAAGGAAUAUAGCUCCAACCGUCCCAAGCAAGGAAUAUAGCUCCAACCGUUCCAGCAAGGAAUAUAGCUCCAACCGUUCCAGCAAGGAAUAUAGCUCCUGCCGUUCCAAGCAAGGAAUAGCUCCUCCCGUUCCAGCUGAUACAGCUGUCGCCAUUUGAGGCACAAUACAAAGCUGCUCCUGUUACAUACAUUCGUGGACCUCCUAAAGUUAAAUGAAUAAAUUUCCCUUAACAUAAAACCAGACGUCAUCACAUUAUUAAAGGAUUAGAGCUCAUAACUGUGAUAUUUAUCUCCAGACGAGCCACAAGAAAACAUUACAUAAAAAUUAAUGUUUGGGUACAUGUUAAGACUUUUCAACGUAUCUGUAUCCAAAUGCUUAGAUGUUAACCGUGAUUCGUGACUCGUGAUUCAGACAUAGUCUGUAAAGCGUGCUUCAUGAACCGUAUUAAUAAUCUGGGGUAUGACCUUUAAGGUCACAGCAUGACGUAACAGCAUGACUACACAACGCGUAAACGAAGAUUACGUCAUGAGUAAAUGUUCAGGUUGCUAGAAAAUUAAGAAAUUGCUUAAACUCACUGCGUAUACGAUGUGAUAAUUGCAGUAAGAAAAUGAAGUGUCCAUUGUGUUUGGACACGAUCCGGGGCCUAUUCUAUUCUCCACGUAGAGUGGAAUCGGAUGUAUUAAGAGUGGUCUAUAGUUGAUAUAUAACAGUACAAAAUGUGAUUUCACAUUAUGCUUAACUUCAAACAUUUGAAUAUAUUGAAUAAUGUUUUAAGGCUUCAGUUAAAAAAGUAGAAGUAUUUAAGAUAUGUUAAUCAUUAGUUAUUGUUUUUGAUCUUGGAGUCAAGUAUACAUAUAGUGUAGUCCCAGCGAACGGGAUAAUAAUCGCUGUGGUUCACAUGCGCACAGGUUUUAUUUAUAAUCAGUAUAAAAUGUCAUCAGCCUGAAAACAUAUAUAUUGUAAAUAUACAGAAUUGUACUAUGUACUAUAAAUAUUUAAUUUUAUAUGCUUUUUAAAAAUAUCAAUGUUAUACACUUUGCAUCUUUUCAAAUUACACUUUACAUAUCAUAUUUAUAUAUCGUGUCAAUCCUAAUGUUAUUGUUUUGAUUACUCGCUGGAUUAUUUGUUUAAAGCGUCAAAACAAAAAAAAAACGUUUUACAAUCGGUGUUACUGGGCACAUAAUGCAAACUCGUACAUUGCUGUACCCACUAAGACCUUGCAUGCUCAUCCAAAAUAGGAUUUUGUUUUUAUUUUAUUUUUCACAGUUCACAGUUUUAAUACGUUUAUCUCUGCUGGGGAAAAAACCGAAAUGCUUUAAAUUAUCUCAGAUAUGUAUAUAUAAUUUACCUGUGUACCGGUGUAAAUAUUGUGAAUAUUAUAUGUUGCAUAAUUUUAAUUAGAUCUGAUUUCUUUUAUGAUGAUGUGUCAAAUACAGGCCUAGUCACUGUAUUUUUUAAAAAAAUUUUCUGACCAGAUAUGGCAUGUUCUUUUACAUAAUGUACAUACAUAUCCUUCUAUAAAUCAGCCAACCCCCCCACAACGCAUUCUCUACUCCAAAACCCCGCCUUUUUCACAGUUCUGACGGAACAUGCUCUGUCGAUGAGUUUGAGUCUCAGCCCUAAUGAACAUGUGUAUGUAAUGCGAUACCCCGUUCUAACAGUGUACAAACAAGGGAGUGAAAUAAAAAAAAUAUUUAAUAAA